This is a small nucleolar RNA of Onychomys torridus (southern grasshopper mouse), 65 nucleotides long. RefSeq annotates it as small nucleolar RNA U54. NCBI's taxonomy places the organism in Eukaryota, Metazoa, Chordata, Mammalia, Rodentia, Cricetidae. The transcript has a single exon. The record is from RefSeq and is a predicted model, not a curated record.
GGGUGAUGAGAUAGUUACUGUGUUGAAUUAAGCUGAUAUUUUUUAUAUGCUAUACUGAGCCAGAA